GUCUUUUAAUUGAAGACUUGUAUGAAUGAUUUGAUGAAAUAUAAACUGUCUCUUUAUUAAAAAUAGAAUUUAAUUUUUUAGUUAAAAAGCUAAAAUUUAUUUAAAAGACGAGAAGACCCUAUAGAGUUUUAUAUUUAAAAUUAUAUUAAUUUUGUAUAAAAUUUUUAUUUAAUAUUUUUUUAAGUAUUUUAUUGGGGUGAUAGAAAAAUUUAAUAAACUUUUUUUAAAAAUUUUACAUUAAUAUAUGAAAUUUUGAUCCAUAAUUUAUGAUUAAAAGAUUAAAUUACCUUAGGGAUAACAGCGUAAUUUUUUUUUUUAGUUCUUAUAAAAAAAAAAGUUUGCGACCUCGAUGUUGGAUUAAG
This 362-nucleotide ribosomal RNA is filed under the name Pieris mihon. Its description in RNAcentral is "Pieris bryoniae mihon partial large subunit ribosomal RNA". The record is from RNAcentral. Lineage: Eukaryota; Metazoa; Arthropoda; Insecta; Lepidoptera; Pieridae.